CUCUUAAAAUCUUUUAAGUAAGCUCUGCCCUAUGAUUAAUUAAAUGGCCGCAGUAUCCUGACUGUGCGAAGGUAGCAUAAUCAUUUGUUUUUUUAUUGAAAACUAGAAUGAAAGAGUCGACGAAAAAUAGCCUUUUGAUUUAUAAAAUUAAAUUGACAUAAAGGUUAAAAGGCCUUUAAAAAUCAGAAAGACGACAAGACCCUAUAAAACUUUACUAUACCCUAAAUAAAAAUAGUUGGACUGGGGCGGUUAAUACUAAAAACUGUAUAAUAUAAAAUAUAAAACAUAAAAUUUAAGAACUUACUAUUUAAAAAAUUUUGAACAAGUUACUUUAGGGAUAACAGCAUAAUUUUUUCAGAGAGCCCAAAUCGACGAGAAAGCUUAUGACCUCGAUGUUGAAUUGAAAA
This 407-nucleotide ribosomal RNA is filed under the name Bragasellus stocki. RNAcentral's name for it is "partial 16S ribosomal RNA". It matches the Rfam family "Bacterial large subunit ribosomal RNA", at positions 1835 to 2543 of the family's 2925-position model. The record is from RNAcentral. Lineage: Eukaryota; Metazoa; Arthropoda; Malacostraca; Isopoda; Asellidae.